GUUGUAUGGUUAAGUGACUAAGCGUACACGGUGGAUGCCUUGGCAGUCAGAGGCGAUGAAAGACGUAUUAACUUGCGAUAAGCCCAG
RNAcentral lists this ribosomal RNA (87 nucleotides) under Photobacterium jeanii. RNAcentral describes it as "partial 23S ribosomal RNA". The record is from RNAcentral. Lineage: Bacteria; Pseudomonadati; Pseudomonadota; Gammaproteobacteria; Vibrionales; Vibrionaceae.